RNAcentral lists this unclassified non-coding RNA (329 nucleotides) under soil metagenome. RNAcentral describes it as "partial contains 5.8S ribosomal RNA, internal transcribed spacer 2, and large subunit ribosomal RNA". The stretch from base 1 to 120 matches the Rfam family "5.8S ribosomal RNA", at positions 35 to 154 of the family's 154-position model. The record is from RNAcentral.
GAUGAAGAACGUAGCGAAAUGCGAUAAGUAGUGUGAAUUGCAGAAUUCAGUGAAUCAUCGAAUCUUUGAACGCACAUUGCGCCCCUUGGUAUCCCGAGGGGCAUGCCUGUUCGAGCGUCAUUUCACCACUCAUGCCUGGCUUGGUGUUGGGCGACGUCCUCUUUGGGGACGCGCCUCGAAACGCUCGGCGGCGUGGCACCGGCUUUAAGCGUAGCAGAAUCUUUCGCUUUGGAAGUCGGGGCCCCGUCUGCCGGAAGACCUGCUCGCAAGGUUGACCUCGGAUCAGGCAGGGAUACCCGCUGAACUUAAGCAUAUCAAUAAGCGGAGGA